This 700-nucleotide ribosomal RNA is filed under the name uncultured Polaromonas sp. RNAcentral describes it as "bacterial SSU rRNA". It matches the Rfam family "Bacterial small subunit ribosomal RNA", at positions 64 to 763 of the family's 1533-position model. Lineage: Bacteria; Pseudomonadati; Pseudomonadota; Betaproteobacteria; Burkholderiales; Comamonadaceae. The record is from RNAcentral.
GAACGGUAGAGUAGCAAUACUCGAGAGUGGCGAACGGGUGAGUAAUAUAUCGGAACGUGCCCAGUCGUGGGGGAUAACGUAGAGAAAUUUACGCUAAUACCGCAUACGAUCUACGGAUGAAAGCGGGGGAUUCGCAAGAACCUCGCGCGAUUGGAGCGGCUGAUAUCAGAUUAGCUUGUUGGUGAGGUAAAAGCUCACCAAGGCGACGAUCUGUAGCUGGUUUGAGAGAACGACCAGCCACACUGGGACUGAGACACGGCCCAGACUCCUACGGGAGGCAGCAGUGGGGAAUUUUGGACAAUGGGCGAAAGCCUGAUCCAGCAAUGCCGCGUGUGGGAAGAAGGCCUUCGGGUUGUAAACCACUUUUGUACGGAACGAAACGGUUCGCUUUAAUACAGUGGGCUAAUGACGGUACCGUAAGAAUAAGCACCGGCUAACUACGUGCCAGCAGCCGCGGUAAUACGUAGGGUGCGAGCGUUAAUCGGAAUUACUGGGCGUAAAGCGUGCGCAGGCGGUUAUAUAAGACAGUUGUGAAAUCCCCGGGCUCAACCUGGGAGUUGCAUCUGUGACUGUAUAGCUAGAGUACGGUAGAGGGGGAUGGAAUUCCGCGUGUAGCAGUGAAAUGCGUAGAUAUGCGGAGGAACACCGAUGGCGAAGGCAAUCCCCUGGACCUGUACUGACGCUCAUGCACGAAAGCGUG